AAAUAGCCUUAAAGUCUGGCUGCCUGUGGGCCGGGCAGAACAGAGCCAUAUUUCUCUUAUUACCAAAAAUGGGUAAGAGAAAUAUCACUGAAUUCUUUCUCCAGUAAGGAAUAUUAAUAAUUAACAGCCCUGGGAAAAGAAUGCAUUCUGGGGAGGGGAGGGGGCCUCUGAAAUGGCCGCUCUGGGGGUGUCUGCCUUAUGCAGUUGCAGAUAAGGGAUGAAACACACCCUGGCCUCCUGCAACGCCCCCAGGCUUGCUAGGAUUAGGAAAUUCCAGCCUGGCAAAUUCUAGUCAGACCAGUUCUCUGCUCUUGAACCCUGUUAAGAUGUUUAUCAAUGACAAUGUGAGCACAGUGGGACAUAGAAGUUCAUUAGUGAUUCCAGUUUUGCCCUGACCUUGUGAUCUCACCCUGACCUUCUGCCUUGUGAUCUUUCGUCACCCUUGAAGCAUGUGAUCUCUGUGACCCACACCUUAUUUGUACACUCCCUCCCCUUUGAAAAUUGCUAAUAAAAACUUGCUGGUUUUACGGCUCAGGGGGCAUCACGGAACCUGCCGACAUGUGAUGUCUCCCCCGGACACCCAGCUUUAAAAUUUCUCUCUUGUACUCUUUCCCUUUAUUUCUAGACCGGCCAACACUUAGAGAAAUAGAAAAGAACCUAUGUGAAAUAUCGGGGGCUGGUUUCCCCUGAUAGUGAAGGAGACAGGUUAGAUACACUGGAGCUUCCACACAGGAGAGAGGGAAGGAGCUGGAGAAGAAGGUGAGUUGGAAGAUUUGGGGGUUUUGUUUUUAAGUGAGAGAGCUUUGAAUAGGUUUAAUGCUGAUGGUGGGGAUCCAGUUAAGAGAAACACUGAAAAUUAACUAGAGGGAAAGGUAACUGACAGUAUAGAGUUCCUAAGAACCCAAGCAGUAAAUUCUAGCCUAGCUGGGGGUGGAGUGUGAAGAAGUGAAGAACCUUUUUUAUUUUUUUUUUAAUGGGCUGGGUGUGAAGCUACAUUUGUAGUUUUGUGGCAGGAAGUUCCCUUACUGUAACUUCUAUAUUUUCUGUGAAGCAGAAGACAAGAACUCUGUUCAAAGUUAGGGAGAUGAUAGAUUGAGGGCUAGAAGAGUAAGGCAGGCUUGAAACAAUCAUUGUCACGAAUGGGAGUUGACCAGAGAUUAGUAACGUUGCUGGGCCAUGUGUAGGGGCCCAUUUGAAACCAGCGAUUACAAAUGUGCAGUGGUUCCAGGCCGUGCGGCUGUGUGAAUCUACCUGAUGACCCUCGGCUGCUUGGGUACUGCCAUGGAUAGCGCAUGUGUUGGCUUUGUCCAGCUUUGGGCUUUUUCCCACAUUGAUUUUAAAAAGACAGGAGCCACAGAUUUUGGAGUACUGCAAAAUGACUUUCCAAAUUGAUGAACCAUGGACUCCAAGCUGGAUAGACACAGAAAUGAAAAGAAGGGACUAAUAGGGAAUAAGACGUGUGAUCCAUGGCCCGAUGGCCCUGAUGGACGUGAAGAUCCACUGUUGUGGGAGGAGUGGAACACUAACACUGAAUGAUGGAGGCUGUGGUCAGAAACAGAUUUGUCUGAAUUUCAGUUGAUCCAGAGCAAGAAAAAUAGCUGAAUAUAACUGGCCAGUGCAGAAGAGCCUAUGAAGGUGGAAAAUGGAGGAAGGAGGACCCCAUGCUGGAGAAGUGAUGGAGAUUUGAAGCCUUGGAAGAUGGCGGCAAGGGAGAUGCCAGAGAUGAGACAAUGUUAAACAUCUGUAAUCUAACAGUCUUCUAUGGGAGUUUAUUACAUUUCCAUAUCCUAUGUUCACUUCUAGUGAAAAAUAAAAAUAAAAUCUUAAGCCCCCCACAGCUGACUAAAUGGAUCCCAUUGUGAAAGGAAAAUAUCUUGAGCCUCCAAAAUCACUAAGGAAAAUUCAAGCUGGAAACUUCUUAGGACAAACCUGCCUCCCAUUCUCUUCAAAGUUAUUCCUCUGCUCGAGGAGCUAGAUGCAUAUCUGAUUGCCGCCUUUGGAAAGGCUAACCAGAAACUCAAAAGAAUGAUACAGUUUGUUAUCACCUACCUGUGACCUGGAAGCUCCCUCCCUCCCCACUUGAGUCUUCCUGCUUUUGUUUCAAGCUGUCCUGCCUUUCCAGACCAAACCAAUGUACUUCUUACGUAUAUUGAUUGAUGUCUCACUCAUGUCUCCCUAAAUCGUAUAAAACCAAGCUGUGCCCCAACUACCCUGGGCAUGUGUCAUCAGGAUUUCAUGAAGCUGUGUCACGGGCGCAUUCCCCAACCUUGAAAAAAUAAACUUUCUAAAUUAACUGAGACCUGUCUCAGAUUUUCUGGGUUCACAUUGUUUUCGUCAAGGGGACUCCCCAAGUAACUUUGAAAACUGAGUUCUAGGCUGUGAGGGGAUGGGAGGUCAGAGGUCAGACGCACCUUGCUGCACACCUCCACCUCGCUAACCCCCUUAGGCUUUCUUCCCUAGGGGCUAAACAGAAACCAGCUCUUUCCUUUUUUUUUUUUCUUUUUUUUUAGAGACGAGUCUUGCUCUGUCACCCAGGCUGGAGUGCAGUGGUUCGAUUUUGGCUCACUGCAACCACCACCUCCCAGGUUCAAGCAAUUCUCCUGCCUCAGCUUCCCAAGUAACUGCAACUACAAGCACAUGCCACCAUGCCCGGCUAAUUUCUUUUGUAUUUUUAGUAGAGAUGGGGUUUCACCAUGUUGCCCGGGCUGGUCUUGAACUCCUGAGCUCAGGCAAUCUGUCCGCCUCAGCCUCCCAAAGUGCUAGGAUUACAGGCAUGAGCCACUGCACCCAGCCAAAACCAGCUCUUUCAAAAGACUCCAGUGCUGAUAUCAACAACUGCCUGAGGCUUCCCCACCCUUUUGCAGUUUCCACAUAACAAUUAACCAGCAUUCCCUCCUGAUAAGAGACAACACCCCGCCCGCCGACGCAGAGCGGUUCUGGCCAGUCUUCAGAGGCUGCACACAGAGAGCCUGCGUGUCCCUGCUUUGUCUUUCGAUGUAAAAGGCCUAACUGUCAUGCAUUGAAAUGUGAAGUCUCCAGCCCAAAGUGAACAUGGGACACAUGCUGCAUGCAUGUUAGCCUGCUACACAUGCAUGAUCCUCUUCAUGAAUAUUCAUAGCUCCUCCUGUAAUCUGUUGAAUAUGUAUACUUAGCCAACCUGCUCAACAUAAAUUCCUGUUCCCUUUACCCCUCCUUUGAAAUAUGUGUUUCCAGCUUCUGGCCCAAGGCUACGCUUUCCAGCCUGUCAGAAUGGCUGCCUGCAAGCAGCAACCCUUUAGGAGAAAGAAAGCUCUCCUUUCCAAAUUUAUAAAUGUCAUCAUACUUCAGUUUACAAUAGUAUUUAAUUUUUUGACCUUUAAGUUCUCCAAGGUCCUUCUCCAUUUUUAAGGCUUUCGAAAUUAACUGAUGAUUCUACUAAAAAGCUAAAAAUAGGUUUUUUGUUUCCAAAUAAUCAGAACAUAAUACAGUCAAAAGCACCAUAUAGAAAUAGUUCCCUGUUUCCAGCCAAUACGGCUGUGUCUCUGUUUUGAACAUUUGCCUCCAGAGUGUUGCUGAUGCAGUUCAAACAGAAAGCACUGAGAAAUAAAAUUUGCAAGUGGUUUCUGUUGAGAGUUUCUACUGUUUAUAAGUCUGCGAGAAUUAGUUACGUUACAGCAGGGAGUGAGAGAGAGAAGCAGCGGGUACCAAAACCUCGCUGAGCUCCUACCUGCCCUCCCCAUUUCUUGCCCGCCCCCCAUGGCUACCUGCCCCCUGCGAUGAACUCGAGACCUUGGAAUGAGAAACAGUUCAGAGUUGUCUGGUGUGUGCAUAUCACCUGUGGUCUAACUCAUCACCCUGAAAGAAACCAAAAUAUUUCACCCCAAAAUACCCUUCUUUGACAUAUUUUGAGAGGGCUGUUCAGAGGGCCUGCGAGCAUGGGCAGCCCUGCAAAGGUGUCUGGUGGGGGAGAUUUGCAUCUGAGGGAAAAUCAGCAGUGAUACAGUCAGGCUUAGAGUUCCUCCCUUGUCUGGAUCUAGAAAAGAUUAACUGAGAGUGACAUCUUUAAAGAGCUGAAAGAAACAUUUCCCAUCUAUUCUCUGUGACGGUUGCCACCUGCAAGGUUUCAUCUACAUAACAAGACCACCUUUGCAGACCAGGUCUCCUCUUCUCUCCCUCCCAUAACCUGUCUUGCCAUUAGAAACUGAUUUACCACCAUAACCUGUUUUUAGCCAUGCUCUGAGGCCCCAUUCUUUCUGUAACCUUGAGACGGCAUAAAGAGGUCAACCAUCUGGCCAUUUCUUUGAGUUCUUAUAUUUUGUAGGACUCCCAUAUAUAUUAAUAAAUUUGGAUGCCUUUUCUCCUAUUAAUAUGCCUUUUGUCAGUUGAUUUUUCAGUGAACCUUCAGCGGGUGAAGGAGAAGUUUUCCCUUGGUCCCUACAAUCUGUUUACCCUAAACCAGGCUGAUACAAAAAUUAAAUGAUGU
RNAcentral lists this long non-coding RNA (4462 nucleotides) under Homo sapiens (human). Its description in RNAcentral is "HSALNT0081949". The record is from RNAcentral. Lineage: Eukaryota; Metazoa; Chordata; Mammalia; Primates; Hominidae.